This is a non-coding RNA of Gossypium hirsutum (cotton), 117 nucleotides long. The record is from Rfam. Lineage: Eukaryota; Viridiplantae; Streptophyta; Magnoliopsida; Malvales; Malvaceae.
AGCCGUGUGGUGAGCACAGAGCGAACUAUUCUUUCGCCUUUUACUAAAGAAUACCGUGUGCUCGCCACCCUAAGCUGCAUACGCCAAUUUUUGGAAGGGUACUUCUUGUUGAAUGCC